UGGGGAAUUUUGGACAAUGGGCGAAAGCCUGAUCCAGCAAUGCCGCGUGUGUGAAGAAGGCCUUCGGGUUGUAAAGCACUUUUGUCCGGAAAGAAAUCCUCUGGGUUAAUACCUCGGGGGGAUGACGGUACCGGAAGAAUAAGCACCGGCUAACUACGUGCCAGCAGCCGCGGUAAUACGUAGGGUGCAAGCGUUAAUCGGAAUUACUGGGCGUAAAGCGUGCGCAGGCGGUUUUGUAAGACGGAUGUGAAAUCCCCGGGCCUAACCUGGGGAACUGCAUUCGUGACUGCAAGGCUAGAGUAUGGCAAGAGGGGGGUAGAAUUCCACGUGUGAGCAGUGAAAUGCGUAGAGAUGGUGGAGGAAUACCGAUGGCGAAGGCAGCCCCCUGGGCCAAUACUGACGCUCAUGCACGAAAGCGUGGGGGAGCAAACAGGAUU
RNAcentral lists this ribosomal RNA (437 nucleotides) under uncultured bacterium. RNAcentral describes it as "partial 16S ribosomal RNA". It matches the Rfam family "Bacterial small subunit ribosomal RNA", at positions 355 to 779 of the family's 1533-position model. The record is from RNAcentral.